This is a long non-coding RNA of Alexandromys fortis (reed vole), 475 nucleotides long. RefSeq lists it as uncharacterized. NCBI's taxonomy places the organism in Eukaryota, Metazoa, Chordata, Mammalia, Rodentia, Cricetidae. The record is from RefSeq and is a predicted model, not a curated record. The transcript has 3 exons.
AAUGAAGCACUAUGACACACGAGGAAAGAAUCUAUAGGGGAAAAAUGAAAAAGUCAUUCUGAAAUGGCAAGGGAGCUUUCUGACUGGAGGCCUCAAAUCUUGUAGUUGAGGCAUGAAAAGAGUAGGAGAACUGGUGACCGUGAGCUUUUGUGUUUUCACGGCCUUGGCCUUUCUGAAGAAUUUCACAGCCUCUCCACAAGCAGUUCGCCAACUCUGGGCCCCACGGAUGUUUUCAGCUGAGAAAAAGAACGGAACAGGAAGCAUCUGGCAAAGGGAAAUAGAACCAACCAAUCCAACAUCUGGCAGAAAAUACCGUCUGAGCAGCUGGCCAGCUUUGUCCUUGGCAGGACCAGACAUUGGGACCAUGUCUCAGCUUCUGAUUCAUUGUUAUAUAGAAGGUGGUUGGCUAACAUCGUGCUGUACAACAUAAUCAUCUUACGUUCAGAACAACUCCAGAUGGCUAAGUCGUUUUCCA